AAAUAUCUUGAUGCGGGACUCUUCCGAGGCCUCGCAAUCAGGAUGCGUUUACUUUAAAGCAGUAAACUGAAACGCAAUUGGAGGGCAAGUCUGGUGCCAGCAGCCGCGGUAAUUCCAGCUCCCAAUAGCGUAUAUUAAGGUUGCUGCCGGAUCAAAAAGCUCGUAGUUGGACUUCUAUACUCAGGCAGACCAGCCCUCUUUUGUCCUCUCCCAAUAACUUCCGGCGCCAGUACAGUUACAAGGGGGUGAAUGGAGUGUGCACCAAUUCGUUGGACCGUACAUCAUCCUUCGCUCGGCCGGUUUCUCGAACAGGUCGGUCACUGUUAGCACGGAGUGGUGGGGGGCGUAAACUGCGUCUGUGACUGAGUGUAAUAUGAGACCGCCGAUAUUCACUUUUAGUUUAUCGAAAUAAUCUAUAACUGUUUCCAUGGUGCCCUUUAUUGGGUGUCCAUUUUAUGCAGUACAAGAUACAUUCGUUACGAACAAAGUUAUCGGCUCUAUCACUUUGAAAAAAUUAGAGUGCUUAAAGCAGGCCUCAUUGCAUAAUUGCCUGAAUGGUAGUGCAUGGAAUGAUGGAAGAUGAUCUCUACCUCGUUAAGUUAAAAAAGGAACUUGUUGCUUUUUUUCUUUGCACCAAGUGGAAUAAGGGUACAUUUGAAAUAAAAGAUUCGAGGUUUGAGAUAAUGAUUAAAGGGAACUGCCGGGGGCGUUUGUAUUACGGCGCUAGAGGUGAAAUUCUUGGACCGUCGUAAGACAAACUACUGCGAAAGCAUUCGCCAAGAAUGUUUUCAUUAAUCAAGAACGAAAGUUAGAGUUUAGAAGGAGAUCAGAUACCUCCCUAUUUCUAACCGUAAACUAUGCUAACCAGUUGUCCGUCGGAAGUCAUUUCCGAGACUGGACGAGCGACCCUCAGGGAAACCAGAGUUUCUGAGUUCCGGGGGAAGUAUGGU
This 950-nucleotide ribosomal RNA is filed under the name Akanthophoreus cf. alba ITan165. Its description in RNAcentral is "partial small subunit ribosomal RNA". It matches the Rfam family "Eukaryotic small subunit ribosomal RNA", at positions 473 to 1129 of the family's 1831-position model. The record is from RNAcentral. Lineage: Eukaryota; Metazoa; Arthropoda; Malacostraca; Tanaidacea; Akanthophoreidae.